GACGAACGCUGGCGGCGUGCUUAACACAUGCAAGUCGAACGGAAAGGCCCUGCUUUUGUGGGGUGCUCGAGUGGCGAACGGGUGAGUAACACGUGAGUAACCUGCCCUUGACUUUGGGAUAACUUCAGGAAACUGGGGCUAAUACCGGAUAGGAGCUCCUGCUGCAUGGUGGGGGUUGGAAAGUUUCGGCGGUUGGGGAUGGACUCGCGGCUUAUCAGCUUGUUGGUGGGGUAGUGGCUUACCAAGGCUUUGACGGGUAGCCGGCCUGAGAGGGUGACCGGCCACAUUGGGACUGAGAUACGGCCCAGACUCCUACGGGAGGCAGCAGUGGGGAAUAUUGCACAAUGGGCGGGAGCCUGAUGCAGCAACGCCGCGUGCGGGAUGACGGCCUUCGGGUUGUAAACCGCUUUCGCCUGUGGCGAAGCGUGAGUGACGGUAAUGGGUAAAGAAGCACCGGCUAACUACGUG
This 468-nucleotide ribosomal RNA is filed under the name uncultured bacterium. Its description in RNAcentral is "partial 16S ribosomal RNA". It matches the Rfam family "Bacterial small subunit ribosomal RNA", at positions 28 to 507 of the family's 1533-position model. The record is from RNAcentral.